AAAUUGAAGAGUUUGAUCAUGGCUCAGAUUGAACGCUGGCGGCAGGCCUAACACAUGCAAGUCGAACGGUAGCACAGAGAGCUUGCUCUUGGGUGACGAGUGGCGGACGGGUGAGUAAUGUCUGGGAAACUGCCCGAUGGAGGGGGAUAACUACUGGAAACGGUAGCUAAUACCGCAUAAUGUCGCAAGACCAAAGUGGGGGACCUUCGGGCCUCACACCAUCGGAUGUGCCCAGAUGGGAUUAGCUAGUAGGUGGGGUAACGGCUCACCUAGGCGACGAUCCCUAGCUGGUCUGAGAGGAUGACCAGCCACACUGGAACUGAGACACGGUCCAGACUCCUACGGGAGGCAGCAGUGGGGAAUAUUGCACAAUGGGCGCAAGCCUGAUGCAGCCAUGCCGCGUGUAUGAAGAAGGCCUUCGGGUUGUAAAGUACUUUCAGCGGGGAGGAAGGUGUUGUGGUUAAUAAC
RNAcentral lists this ribosomal RNA (468 nucleotides) under Salmonella enterica subsp. enterica serovar Newmexico. RNAcentral describes it as "bacterial SSU rRNA". It matches the Rfam family "Bacterial small subunit ribosomal RNA", at positions 1 to 467 of the family's 1533-position model. The record is from RNAcentral. Lineage: Bacteria; Pseudomonadati; Pseudomonadota; Gammaproteobacteria; Enterobacterales; Enterobacteriaceae.